UGGGGAAUUUUGGACAAUGGGCGAAAGCCUGAUCCAGCAAUGCCGCGUGUGUGAAGAAGGCCUUCGGGUUGUAAAGCACUUUUGUCCGGAAAGAAAUCCUUGGCUCUAAUACAGUCGGGGGAUGACGGUACCGGAAGAAUAAGCACCGGCUAACUACGUGCCAGCAGCCGCGGUAAUACGUAGGGUGCAAGCGUUAAUCGGAAUUACUGGGCGUAAAGCGUGCGCAGGCGGUUUGCUAAGACCGAUGUGAAAUCCCCGGGCUCAACCUGGGAACUGCAUUGGUGACUGGCAGGCUAGAGUAUGGCAGAGGGGGGUAGAAUUCCACGUGUAGCAGUGAAAUGCGUAGAGAUGUGGAGGAAUACCGAUGGCGAAGGCAGCCCCCUGGGCCAAUACUGACGCUCAUGCACGAAAGCGUGGGGAGCAAACAGGAUUAGAUACCCUGGUAGUCCACGCCCUAAAACGAUGUCAACUAGUUGUUGGGGGAUUCAUUUCCUUAGUAACGUAGCUAACGCGUGAAGUUGACCGCCUGGGGAGUACGGUCGCAAGAUUAAAACUCAAAGGAAUUGACGGGGUCAUA
Molecule: ribosomal RNA, 577 nt
Filed under: uncultured bacterium
Lineage: Bacteria
Description: partial 16S ribosomal RNA
Rfam family: Bacterial small subunit ribosomal RNA
Source: RNAcentral